RNAcentral lists this ribosomal RNA (253 nucleotides) under uncultured bacterium. Its description in RNAcentral is "partial 16S ribosomal RNA". It matches the Rfam family "Bacterial small subunit ribosomal RNA", at positions 524 to 776 of the family's 1533-position model. The record is from RNAcentral.
UACGUAGGUGGCAAGCGUUGUCUGGAUUUACUGGGCGUAAAGGAUGCGUAGGCGGAUGUUUAAGUGAGAUGUGAAAUACCCGAGCUCAACUUGGGUGCUGCAUUUCAAACUGGAUAUCUAGAGUGCAGGAGAGGAAAGCGGAAUUCCUAGUGUAGCGGUGAAAUGCGUAGAGAUUAGGAAGAACACCAGUGGCGAAGGCGGCUUUCUGGACUGUAACUGACGCUGAGGCAUGAAAGCGUGGGGAGCAAACAGG